RNAcentral lists this ribosomal RNA (396 nucleotides) under uncultured fungus. RNAcentral describes it as "eukaryotic LSU rRNA". It matches the Rfam family "Eukaryotic large subunit ribosomal RNA", at positions 1 to 387 of the family's 3401-position model. The record is from RNAcentral. Lineage: Eukaryota; Fungi.
UUGACCUCAAAUCAGGUAGGACUACCCGCUGAACUUAAGCAUAUCAAUAAGCGGAGGAAAAGAAACUAACAAGGAUUCCCUUAGUAACUGCGAGUGAAGUGGGAAAAGCUCAAAUUUAAAAUCUGGCAGUCAUUUGGCUGUCCGAGUUGUAAUCUAGAGAAGUGUUGCCCGUGCUGGACCAUGUACAAGUCUCCUGGAAUGGAGCAUCACAGAGGGUGAGAAUCCUGUCUUUGACAUGGACUGCCAGUGCUUUUGUGGUAUGCUCUCAAAGAGUCGAGUUGUUUGGGAAUGCAGCUCAAAAUGGGUGGUAAAUGCCAUCUAAAGCUAAAUAUUGGCGAGAGACCGAUAGUGAACCAGUACCGUGAGGGAAAGAUGAAAAGAACUUUGGAAAGAGAG